This 4401-nucleotide long non-coding RNA is filed under the name Eutrema salsugineum. RNAcentral's name for it is "long non-coding RNA (ESAL_LNC001137)". Lineage: Eukaryota; Viridiplantae; Streptophyta; Magnoliopsida; Brassicales; Brassicaceae. The record is from RNAcentral.
CAGAUUAUACAUUCUUUGGUUGCUUAUGUCUUUACACAACCAACUUCAUCUUCAACAACAGAUUGAGAAAGGAAACUCUUGGCCAAAGACUAUGUCUAUUUAAACUUUCGCUCUGCCCAUUACGUUCUUUAAUUUUCUUGAGUCUAAAAGGAACUCAUGGAUCUCUUUUAAGAGUUGUAGAUGAAAUUGUUCAAAGACCACUUGGAUCUCCUGGUACUAACUAAAGACGUUUUCCUAAACAUGCAUUACUAAAUCAAUAUCUCAAGAAGACGUUUAGUCGAUCUUUGAAGUAGAGUUCUACAAUAGGGAGGAGUUAUAGACGGUCAAGAAGACCCAAAAGGUCCAAAGCAAGCUUUUUAGUCCUUUAUCAUAUUCUUUUGUUUUAAUCGUCAUCUUCGUUUCAUUAUCUACCAAAAAAGAUUGCUACGUGGUCGUUAUAUUCGUUUUUGUUGUUAAUUGUUGAUGCUUCUGCCUUCUGUUCAUGUGAUCGUUGAAACUUGACAAUAGGUUUCCGAAAAUGGCAGUGUUGUAGAGAACUAAACGGUUAAAAACCCCAAGGUUUGGGAGAGUUCAUGAGUUAACUUGUAAGUUUUGUCUUAUACAACGGAACGGCAGGUUAAAAGACACGUUUUGAUCGCGGAUAUAAAUGUUGCAUUGGUUUUCCAAUUUUGGUGAACUUAUCUAAUGGACAUAUAUAGGUUCAUGGAGUUUGUUCAAAAACAAAAGACAUAGGUUCAUGGAGUAAUAUGGAAGAACCGAACAUCGUUAACUAUCAUGUUAUCUCGAUUAAUAAUUUUUCCACCUAUUGAUCUAGCCUCAUUGAUUUUUUUGACAUGGAUUACAGUUACAAAAACAUUUUUAGAUAUAUUUAAUUAAUACUGCAUGUCAUGAACACUUAUAACAUUGAUGAAAUCAGAAAAUUUUCGUAACUCUUAGUUUAAUAUGGAUGUUACAAUUAUAGUGAAGGAGAGGAAGAUAACAAGAAAGACAUGACAAUGCCAUUGAAUAUUUUGGGCUUUUCCGUGUGGGGAAUAUGUGAUGUCUUUUGUAUCACUUUCAGCGUCGCCUUCUUCCCCAACAUCCUGGUAAAAUAUAUACAUACAUAAUUAAUUACUUCUUUUUCUUUAUUUUUAACCUAUAUAAACACACACGACUAUGAAUAACUCAUUUCUAUAUUCGUUCCAAAUUAGUUCUUAAUCUCGUCUCUUGAUGUCUCUAGCAUAGAAGUUAGCUAUCCGAUUACGUAACUUUACGUUAGAUCAAAAUUCGGACAGAAAUAUCGACUAGAAAAUGAUGUAAUUAACCAUUCGAUUCGAUUGAAACAUCUAUUUCCAUAUUUUUUAAAUGAUAUCAAAACCUUAAAAAUCCAAUUAAAUAAGCUUAUAAAACACAACUUAAAAACUAGAAUCAAAGUUUUGUUUACUGGAAUCAGCUGUGCUCGUAGUUACAAAAAAGAAGUAAAUCUUAAAAUUUGAAUAGCAAAAAUGUUUAAGCAAAACCACUUUAAAAGUUCUAUAUCAUAAGUUCAUAACCACAUAAUUUCAUAUUUACCAAGCAAAAAAACGAACUGGAUCAUAUAGUUGUACGUAAUUGCUUGGAUUAUUCCAUUCAAACGGAUUUUACAUCUUGGAUCUACUAAUUAAGCGUAGUGACGCCACUAGCGGUAAUAUCUUAAAACCAUUUGGAACUCGAUCAAAAAUAUUAAUUUGAGUAAUUAAGAAAUUAAAAGAAAUGAAGCAAUGAAAAAUCAAAACCCUAUGCUAUUUAUAUAUUAUGAUACGAUAUAUAUAUAUAUAUAUAUAUAUAUAUAUGAAUUAUGAAGUAGUAGGGUCUUACUCUUUAAGGUCAUAGGCCAUUUUCAAAGGAAAAACCUGAUCUUGCUCCCCCCAUAUCAGCAUUACAUCCUGCAUGAUUCAUGCUUACUUCAUUAUUUAUCAGGUAUUUAAUUUUUAUGAAUCAAAUAAAUUAAAAAUUUCUUAUUGUGUCACUUAUUAAUGCAAGUUCUUAUCAUGCAGUUUUUUUUUCGUAGUCACUUAUUCAUUAAAAAAACUACCCCAAAAAACACAAACUAAUCAUAUUGUUAACAUUCGAGGGCAACUGAGGUCUGAAUUAUGACAAACGUUGGUUUCUACAUUCCCGCUUACAUGUGAAGAAAACACAAAUUCAUAAAUAUCUUUGAAAAAUGCAAAUGUAAAUGUAAAUGUUCGCAAAUAUAAAGAUUCCGCACGUUUGCAUUUGGCGUUUACAUUACGAAUUAACAAAAACAAAUUUUUAAAAAAAGUUGUUGCACAUUUUAACAAAAUAUACACUAACUAUAAAUUUAAACGCAAACAAACAAUCUAAUUCUGAAACGAUUGAAUUUUUUUUUUACAUAUGUUAGUAAGAUGUCAUAAAUUCUUAGCCAUAUAUACAAGUAAUAUUAAUGAUAGCGUAAAAACCAAAAAAUACUAAUAAUGGUGAUAGCGAUUAGCGAACCUGUUGAACUGGAGAAACGUUUGAUUUUUCGUCCCUCCCAAUACUUAGCCCCUCCAGAAGUUCUGCUUUUUCCUCUCUCUUCUCCGAAUACAUUUUCUGUGUGUUUUCCCAAUUUUCAAAUAUCAUAUUAUCAAUCAUGCAAAGCCAAACUCUUCUUUUCAAUAGCGAUAUAAUAUUUAUUUAAUGUUGGGAGCGCAAUACUACGUAUACCGUUCUUUCUUUCCCCAAUCCUACACAAGCUUUUACUAUAACCAACUGAAAGUGACAACUUUCGCUGCCUUCUUUUAUCAAUCACUCAUUUUAAAUAUAAGCUAGUGGAGUGCAUCUUUAUGCUCCACUAUAUUUUCGUGUUAAUUUAUAAUAAGUUUUAAUAAGUGUGUUGUCAAUAUAUAUGUUUCCAAAAAGAAUGUAGCCCCCAAAGGAUCAUUAAUUGUAGAUUAUAUAUUCAUUGAAAUUGAAAUUCUAUGAUCAUUGUAGACGCUUUAAAUGGCAAUAAUACUUGGCGUUAGACUAGUUUGAGUAUCAGCAAUACGAUUCCCGUGAUUAACUUUAAAAAAAAAUAUCUUUCAAAAUGAUAAAGAGACACUUUUAUAAAAUAGGUGGAGACGUAAAGUAAUUAAUUACGAAUCUUUACUAAUAUUAUCCAUUACCUAAAGUAACGUUGUGCAUUCGGAUUUCGGAUGCAUAACUUAUAGGUUAUCAAAUAUUUUGAAACUUUGUUAUAAGACUAAAAAGAGGGUUUAAAACUGUUGAAGGGACUUUUUGUUUUUCUUCCAAGAAUACAAAAAAAAAAGAUGUAAAAAUACCUGGCAAAAGUCGUUCAAGACAAAAUUUGGCACAUAAUCGAGUCUCAUAGAAGAAAUCACCCCAGAGAAUCUCCGGAGAUCCGUUCCCGAGGAAGGAAGCAUCACCUCCGCGACACUACGGCACUUGGCUCUGGCGAUGAACGCUUCGUUGUCACUCCGCCGCAUAUUAACGCCGGAGCUAGCAAGAACCACUUUCUCCACUUUCUCCGGCAACAUUUUCGCCAUGUUAUACGCCACAAACCCACCGUAGCUCGUCCCGACAACACUAAACCUCUCGACGCCGAGCUUCUCCAUCAGCUUCCCCAUGCUCGAAGCCUGAAACAUCUCCGACCGAUUCUCCUCCGUGGAAGAAGAAGACGUGGUGGAGCCGCCGAAGAAGACGAGGUCGGGAAUGUAGAGACGGAAGGAGAGAGAGAGUUGCUUUACCUGAUAGCUCCACUGCCAUAAAGCGGAAGGGCCAAACCCGUGGAGGAGGAGGAGCGACGGUUUCUCUUUAUUUUCCGGCGACGGAGACGGUGGUGGGCUCCAAAACUGUAUGGUGGUUUCGGAGUCUAUGGAUUGUGUUUGCAGAGAGAGACCAGCGGAGGAGAAUCUCCGGCGAAGUAUUGCCUCAACGAAGUUUGCGACGCUUAGAAAUGACGACGGAGCCAUUUCUUAUAGCUUUUGCAAACACGUUUGAUCCUCCAAGAGCGAAAAAAAAUAACAAUUAUAGAGAGAAAGGGAUGAUUAAUAUUAAAUUUUAUUGAUUAAAAAUUACAUAUAUUUAUGAUGCAGGCUGACUUUUUGUUAAUUUUAGUUUCCUUUUUUGAUUCUUGUUAUAUUUAUUUUCUUUUGUCUAUUUUUGGAUGUAUCUGCCAGAAGAUGAUUUAGUGUUAAUUCAUCAGAGUGGAGGGGCGGGCCGGGCGGCGAAGGAAGAAGUUAUAUAGCACCUAAAGUAAUAAAUGGGUUCUUUAAUUACCUGCCAAUCUUGCUUUUAGUAGUCAAAUUGAUUUCUAAGCUAUAACCUGUAAUUUUUUCCUGCUUAGUAAUAGCUUGCAUAUUUUUGUCUUGUCAUGCUAGUCAAUUUAAUGUUGAAUAUUUCUUGUAAACGAACAUUUAAUUCUUUUAAAUUGAUGGUGUC